Molecule: ribosomal RNA, 253 nt
Filed under: uncultured bacterium
Lineage: Bacteria
Description: partial 16S ribosomal RNA
Rfam family: Bacterial small subunit ribosomal RNA
Source: RNAcentral
UACGUAGGUGGCAAGCGUUAUCCGGAUUUACUGGGUGUAAAGGGAGCGUAGACGGCCAGACAAGUCUGAAGUGAAAAUCCAGCGCUUAACGUUGGAAGUGCUUUGGAAACUGCCGGGCUAGAGUGCAGGAGGGGCAGGCGGAAUUCCUAGUGUAGCGGUGAAAUGCGUAGAUACUAGGAGGAACACCAGUGGCGAAGGCGGCCUGCUGGACUGCAACUGACGUUGAGGCUCGAAGGCGUGGGGAGCAAACAGG